RNAcentral lists this long non-coding RNA (180 nucleotides) under Anas platyrhynchos platyrhynchos (common mallard). RNAcentral describes it as "lncRNA (ENSAPLG00000025861.1)". The record is from RNAcentral. Lineage: Eukaryota; Metazoa; Chordata; Aves; Anseriformes; Anatidae.
CAAUUCUCCAGUUCACCACAAAAACAGCUGGAUGUAACUGUGGGUAGCAACAAAUACAGAAGAUGGCUUGAUAGUGGGAGAAAGUGCCUGGCAAUAAGCUUAAAGAAGCUCCUGUACAGAACUGCUACAUUCUGCUGUGCCCAUACAGUUAUGUUGAUAGAGCCACAGCAAAGGUGACAC